This 460-nucleotide ribosomal RNA is filed under the name uncultured bacterium. RNAcentral's name for it is "partial 16S ribosomal RNA". It matches the Rfam family "Bacterial small subunit ribosomal RNA", at positions 338 to 795 of the family's 1533-position model. The record is from RNAcentral.
CCUACGGGAGGCUGCAGUGAGGAAUAUUGGUCAAUGGACGAGAGUCUGAACCAGCCAAGUAGCGUGAAGGAUGACUGCCCUAUGGGUUGUAAACUUCUUUUAUAUGGGAAUAAAAUGUUCCACGUGUGGGAGUUUGUAUGUACCAUAUGAAUAAGGAUCGGCUAACUCCGUGCCAGCAGCCGCGGUAAUACGGAGGAUCCGAGCGUUAUCCGGAUUUAUUGGGUUUAAAGGGAGCGUAGGUGGAUUGUUAAGUCAGUUGUGAAAGUUUGCGGCUCAACCGUAAAAUUGCAGUUGAUACUGGCAGUCUUGAGUACAGUAGAGGUAGGCGGAAUGCGUGGUGUAGCGGUGAAAUGCUUAGAUAUCACGAAGAACUCCGAUUGCGAAGGCAGCUCACUGGACUGCAACUGACGCUGAGGCUCGAAAGUGUGGGUAUCAAACAGGAUUAGAUACCCGGGUAGUC